RNAcentral lists this ribosomal RNA (2042 nucleotides) under Clostridioides difficile. RNAcentral's name for it is "bacterial LSU rRNA". It matches the Rfam family "Bacterial large subunit ribosomal RNA", at positions 665 to 2724 of the family's 2925-position model. The record is from RNAcentral. Lineage: Bacteria; Bacillati; Bacillota; Clostridia; Peptostreptococcales; Peptostreptococcaceae.
GCCGUAGCGAAAGCGAGUUUUAACUGAGCGUUCAGUUACUUGACGUAGACCCGAAACCGGGCGACCUACCCAUGAGCAGGAUGAAGCGAAAGUAAAAUUUCGUGGAGGUCCGAACCCACGAGCGUUGAAAAGCUCGGGGAUGACUUGUGGGUAGCGGUGAAAUUCCAAUCGAGCCCGGAGAUAGCUGGUUCUCCCCGAAAUAGCUUUAGGGCUAGCCUCAAGGUGAGAGAUACGGAGGUAGAGCACUGAAUGUCCUAGGGGGUAUUGCACCUACCGAAGACUAUCAAACUCCGAAUGCCGUCAUCUUAUACUUGGGAGUCAGACUGUGGGUGAUAAGAUUCAUAGUCGAAAGGGCAACAGCCCAGAUCGUCAGCUAAGGUCCCUAAAUGUAAGUUAAGUGGUAAAGGAUGUGGGAUUGCACAGACAACCAGGAUGUUGGCUUAGAAGCAGCCACUCAUUCAAAGAGUGCGUAAUAGCUCACUGGUCGAGUGAUCCUGCGCCGAAGAUUUCCGGGGCUAAAACUUACUACCGAAGCUACGGCAUCAGUAAUGAUGGGUAGGGGAGCUUCCCAUACGGGUUGAAGCAUGACCGUAAGGACAUGUGGACAGUAUGGGAGUGAGAAUGUUGGCAUGAGUAGCGAGAUGUGGGUGAGAAUCCCACAGGCCGUAAACCCAAGGUUUCCAGGGGAAGGUUCGUCCGCCCUGGGUUAGUCGGGACCUAAGCUGAGGCCGAAAGGCGUAGGUGAUGGACAACAGGUUGAUAUUCCUGUACUACCGAUAACCGUUUGAGAGAAGGGAUGACACAGUAGGAUAAGCUAAGCACACUGUUGGUUAUGUGUGCCCAAGCAUUGAGGCAGUCAAAGUAGGCAAAUCCGCUUUGAUAAUGCUGGGAUGUGAUGGGGAGCGAAAUUUAGUAGCGAAGUAGCUGAUUUCACACUGUCAAGAAAAGUCUCUAUCGAGGUUAAAGGUACCCGUACCGCAAACCGACACAGGUGGGUGAGGAGAGUAUCCUAAGGCCAGCGAGAGAACUGUUGUUAAGGAACUCGGCAAAAUGACCCCGUAACUUAGGGAUAAGGGGUGCCACCAUCAGGUGGCCGCAGAGAAUAGGCCCAAGCGACUGUUUACCAAAAACAUAGGUUUCUGCUAAGUCGCAAGACGAUGUAUAGGAGCUGACGCCUGCCCGGUGCUGGAAGGUUAAGGGGAUCUGUUAGAGCAAUCGAAGCAGUGAACUUAAGCCCCAGUAAACGGCGGCCGUAACUAUAACGGUCCUAAGGUAGCGAAAUUCCUUGUCGGGUAAGUUCCGACCCGCACGAAAGGCGUAACGAUUUGGGCACUGUCUCAACAACAGACUCGGUGAAAUUGUAAUUCCGGUGAAGAUGCCGGAUACCUGCGACAGGACGGAAAGACCCCAUGGAGCUUUACUGUAGCUUGACAUUGGGUCUUGGUACUACAUGUACAGGAUAGGUGGGAGGCUUUGAAACCAGGACGCCAGUUUUGGCGGAGCCAUCCUUGGGAUACCACCCUUGUAGUACUGGGACUCUAACCAUAGGCCAUGAAUCUGGUCUUGGGACACUGUCAGGUGGGCAGUUUGACUGGGGCGGUCGCCUCCCAAAAGGUAACGGAGGCGCUCAAAGGUUCUCUCAGUACGGUCGGAAAUCGUACGUAGAGUGUAAAGGCAAAAGAGAGCUUGAUUGCAAGACAUACAGGUCGAGCAAGGAUGAAAAUCGGACUUAGUGAUCCGGUGGUUCUGCGUGGAAGGGCCAUCGCUCAACGGAUAAAAGCUACCCUGGGGAUAACAGGCUUAUCUCCCCCAAGAGUCCACAUCGACGGGGAGGUUUGGCACCUCGAUGUCGGCUCAUCACAUCCUGGGGCUGUAGUAGGUCCCAAGGGUUGGGCUGUUCGCCCAUUAAAGUGGUACGCGAGCUGGGUUCAGAACGUCGUGAGACAGUUCGGUCCCUAUCCGUCGCAGGCGUAGGAAAUUUGAGAAGACCUGUCCUUAGUACGAGAGGACCGGGAUGGACGUACCUCUGGUGUACCAGUUGU